GGGGGCGUGGUGUAGUGGUCAAACNNAACAUGCGGCCCUGUCAAGGCCGAGACCGCGGGUUCAAAUCCCGUCGCUCCCGCUA
RNAcentral lists this transfer RNA (82 nucleotides) under Anaerolineaceae bacterium. RNAcentral's name for it is "tRNA-Asp". It matches the Rfam family "tRNA". Rfam says of the family: Transfer RNA (tRNA) molecules are approximately 80 nucleotides in length. Lineage: Bacteria; Bacillati; Chloroflexota; Anaerolineae; Anaerolineales; Anaerolineaceae. The record is from RNAcentral.